CCUAGCUUAAUUUCUUCAUUUUCUAAAAACAAAAAAGAUAUAGACAGAAGCAUGCCAUCUACUUGUAAGCACCUUUUUGACUUCUGCUUUUAACUCGUCACUCUUACCAUCGGAAACACUAAAGCUCCUAAAGAGCACUCUCUUAUAGGUGAACUGUAGCAUUCUUACCAUUGCCAUGAGAUCAACCAAUCCUUCUGCACUGAAUCUUCCCAUGC
This 215-nucleotide long non-coding RNA is filed under the name Elaeis guineensis (African oil palm). RNAcentral describes it as "long non-coding RNA (EGUI_LNC025786)". Lineage: Eukaryota; Viridiplantae; Streptophyta; Magnoliopsida; Arecales; Arecaceae. The record is from RNAcentral.